RNAcentral lists this RNase P RNA (346 nucleotides) under Candidatus Saccharimonadota bacterium. RNAcentral describes it as "RNase P RNA component class A". It matches the Rfam family "Bacterial RNase P class A". Rfam says of the family: Ribonuclease P (RNase P) is a ubiquitous endoribonuclease, found in archaea, bacteria and eukarya as well as chloroplasts and mitochondria. Its best characterised activity is the generation of mature 5'-ends of tRNAs by cleaving the 5'-leader elements of precursor-tRNAs. Lineage: Bacteria; Candidatus Saccharimonadota. The record is from RNAcentral.
CGAGCCUGAAAGACGAUCGCUUUAUAUAAGAGGAAAGUCCGGGCAACACAGAGCAUGGUAGUCGCUAACAGCGACCGUCCGUAAGGAUAGGGAAAGUACCACAGAGACAAUACAGCCCACCGGUUUUCCAGGGGCAAUGGUGAAAAGAGUGAGGUAAGAGCUCACAGCGCGCGGUAGCGAUACAGUGCGGAGGCAAACCCUACCUGUUGCAAGGAGUGCUAGGUCACCUUAGCUCGAGGAUGCACGUUUACCGCUAGAACGUUAUAGCAAUGUAACGUCAAGAUAGAUGAUCGUCAACUAUAUAUUAUAUAUAGUUACAGAACCCGGCUUAAUGAAGGCUCAAUUU